UGGGUCGGCUGGACGGUCGCGUCGCGGGGCUUCGGCUGCCGCGCCGAGGAACGUCCGGGCUCCACAGGGCAGGGCGGUGGGUAACACCCACCCGGAGCGAUCCGCGAGACAGUGCCACAGAGAGCAGACCGCCUCCUCGUCCCCGAGCUCGUCUCAGGACCGAAGAGGUAAGGGUGAAAGGGCGGUGUAAGAGACCACCGGGGUCGUGGUGACACGACCCGCACGGCAAACCUCGCCCGGAGCAAGGCCAGACAGGGGAUGAUGACGCGGCCCGCCGAGUCCCCGGGUAGGCCGCUGGAGCGGCACGGCAACGUGUCGCCGAGAGAGAUGACCGUCCACGGGGCUUCGGCCCCCGGACAGAACCCGGCGUACAGGCCGGCCCAUUCG
RNAcentral lists this RNase P RNA (387 nucleotides) under Microbacterium sp. 4R-513. RNAcentral's name for it is "RNase P RNA component class A". It matches the Rfam family "Bacterial RNase P class A". From Rfam's summary of the family: Ribonuclease P (RNase P) is a ubiquitous endoribonuclease, found in archaea, bacteria and eukarya as well as chloroplasts and mitochondria. Its best characterised activity is the generation of mature 5'-ends of tRNAs by cleaving the 5'-leader elements of precursor-tRNAs. The record is from RNAcentral. Lineage: Bacteria; Bacillati; Actinomycetota; Actinomycetes; Micrococcales; Microbacteriaceae.